Molecule: long non-coding RNA, 659 nt
Organism: Bubalus bubalis (water buffalo)
Lineage: Eukaryota; Metazoa; Chordata; Mammalia; Artiodactyla; Bovidae
Exons: 3
Source: RefSeq, a predicted model, not a curated record
GAGAGGCACACUUGAGUUGUCUCAGUUAAUUAGACUUUAUUUUAAAACUAUUUUGCUUCUUUCUGCCUCAGGUCUAAUGUUUAUGCAAGGCUUACGGCCAUAUAGCUCUUCAUCUCUUUGCUUCUGUUCUCUCUACUAACUUAUUUUCCUGCUAAAUGUUUCAUAUUUAAAUGGAAAAGAAAGGGUGUGCGUGGUUUUUCCAAUCACCAUUAAGUGUGGCUGUCUCAGCUGUGCCUAGCCUGGCAGAGAAAACGUUUAUAAACUUGUGUCUCGCCUACUGCAUGAUGGUAGGUUGCUACGCCUACUCCAAGGAAAGGACAACUUUAUUCAAGACCAUUACAGUAGGAAUGAAGACUGUUACAGGAAGAGAGAAAAUGAACCAAAUUUCACUGAUACAAAAAGUGAUAAAGCUGCGAUGAACUGGGGAGGCUGACUCCACCAGUGGGAGCACCAAAUGUUAUCCAAACCCUCCAUGGAUGAGGCUACGUCAGUCCGAUUCUCCAGUUUAACAACAGAGACCAUAGGCUACCUGUAACAGCCUACUGCUGCUGCUGCUAAGUCCCUUCAGUUGUGUCCAACUCUGUGCGACCCCAUAGACGGCAGCCCACGAGGCUUCCCCAUCCCUGGGAUUCUCCAGGCAAGAACACUGGAGUGGGUUG